AACCUGCCCCAUAGUCUGGGAUACCACUUGGAAACAGGUGCUAAUACCGGAUAAGAAAGCAGAUCGCAUGAUCAGCUUUUAAAAGGCGGCGUAAGCUGUCGCUAUGGGAUGGCCCCGCGGUGCAUUAGCUAGUUGGUAAGGUAAAGGCUUACCAAGGCGAUGAUGCAUAGCCGAGCUGAGAGACUUAUCGGCCACAUUGGGACUGAGACACGGCCCAAACUCCUACGGGAGGCAGCAGCA
This 240-nucleotide ribosomal RNA is filed under the name uncultured Lactobacillus sp. RNAcentral describes it as "partial 16S ribosomal RNA". It matches the Rfam family "Bacterial small subunit ribosomal RNA", at positions 123 to 355 of the family's 1533-position model. Lineage: Bacteria; Bacillati; Bacillota; Bacilli; Lactobacillales; Lactobacillaceae. The record is from RNAcentral.